Acanthosepion pharaonis is the source of this 106-nucleotide non-coding RNA. The record is from the annotation of a GenBank genome assembly. NCBI's taxonomy places the organism in Eukaryota, Metazoa, Mollusca, Cephalopoda, Sepiida, Sepiidae.
CUGCCAUAUCAUGUUGAAACACUGGAUCUUACAAUCUCCAAAGUUAAGCAACAUUGAGCCUGAUCAGUAUACAGAUGGGUGACCACUUGGGAAUACCAGAUGCUAU